This 239-nucleotide unclassified non-coding RNA is filed under the name Hevea brasiliensis (rubber tree). Lineage: Eukaryota; Viridiplantae; Streptophyta; Magnoliopsida; Malpighiales; Euphorbiaceae. The record is from RNAcentral.
GGUUUGAGAGGAAAGAGGAGCUUCAGGAAGGCGAUAAUGGCGCCGAGAAAGAAAUUACAAGGUGUCGAUGAUGAGUUGCAGAAAUUGCUUGAUGCUAAUAUGGACGGCGUAGCCGCCAGACGCCGAGCGCGGGAGGCGUUCAAAGAAAUUCAGCUCGGAAUUGAUCACAUUCUGUUCAAGACACCAAGCGACGGAUUGAAGAUGGAAGAGACAUAUGAAGUCAACUCCAGAGGACUGAG